Molecule: ribosomal RNA, 2420 nt
Filed under: Escherichia coli
Lineage: Bacteria; Pseudomonadati; Pseudomonadota; Gammaproteobacteria; Enterobacterales; Enterobacteriaceae
Description: partial 23S ribosomal RNA
Rfam family: Bacterial large subunit ribosomal RNA
Source: RNAcentral
CAUGCUGUGAGCUCGAUGAGUAGGGCGGGACACGUGGUAUCCUGUCUGAAUAUGGGGGGACCAUCCUCCAAGGCUAAAUACUCCUGACUGACCGAUAGUGAACCAGUACCGUGAGGGAAAGGCGAAAAGAACCCCGGCGAGGGGAGUGAAAAAGAACCUGAAACCGUGUACGUACAAGCAGUGGGAGCACGCUUAGGCGUGUGACUGCGUACCUUUUGUAUAAUGGGUCAGCGACUUAUAUUCUGUAGCAAGGUUAACCGAAUAGGGGAGCCGAAGGGAAACCGAGUCUUAACUGGGCGUUAAGUUGCAGGGUAUAGACCCGAAACCCGGUGAUCUAGCCAUGGGCAGGUUGAAGGUUGGGUAACACUAACUGGAGGACCGAACCGACUAAUGUUGAAAAAUUAGCGGAUGACUUGUGGCUGGGGGUGAAAGGCCAAUCAAACCGGGAGAUAGCUGGUUCUCCCCGAAAGCUAUUUAGGUAGCGCCUCGUGAAUUCAUCUCCGGGGGUAGAGCACUGUUUCGGCAAGGGGGUCAUCCCGACUUACCAACCCGAUGCAAACUGCGAAUACCGGAGAAUGUUAUCACGGGAGACACACGGCGGGUGCUAACGUCCGUCGUGAAGAGGGAAACAACCCAGACCGCCAGCUAAGGUCCCAAAGUCAUGGUUAAGUGGGAAACGAUGUGGGAAGGCCCAGACAGCCAGGAUGUUGGCUUAGAAGCAGCCAUCAUUUAAAGAAAGCGUAAUAGCUCACUGGUCGAGUCGGCCUGCGCGGAAGAUGUAACGGGGCUAAACCAUGCACCGAAGCUGCGGCAGCGACGCUUAUGCGUUGUUGGGUAGGGGAGCGUUCUGUAAGCCUGUGAAGGUGUGCUGUGAGGCAUGCUGGAGGUAUCAGAAGUGCGAAUGCUGACAUAAGUAACGAUAAAGCGGGUGAAAAGCCCGCUCGCCGGAAGACCAAGGGUUCCUGUCCAACGUUAAUCGGGGCAGGGUGAGUCGACCCCUAAGGCGAGGCCGAAAGGCGUAGUCGAUGGGAAACAGGUUAAUAUUCCUGUACUUGGUGUUACUGCGAAGGGGGGACGGAGAAGGCUAUGUUGGCCGGGCGACGGUUGUCCCGGUUUAAGCGUGUAGGCUGGUUUUCCAGGCAAAUCCGGAAAAUCAAGGCUGAGGCGUGAUGACGAGGCACUACGGUGCUGAAGCAACAAAUGCCCUGCUUCCAGGAAAAGCCUCUAAGCAUCAGGUAACAUCAAAUCGUACCCCAAACCGACACAGGUGGUCAGGUAGAGAAUACCAAGGCGCUUGAGAGAACUCGGGUGAAGGAACUAGGCAAAAUGGUGCCGUAACUUCGGGAGAAGGCACGCUGAUAUGUAGGUGAAGUCCCUCGCGGAUGGAGCUGAAAUCAGUCGAAGAUACCAGCUGGCUGCAACUGUUUAUUAAAAACACAGCACUGUGCAAACACGAAAGUGGACGUAUACGGUGUGACGCCUGCCCGGUGCCGGAAGGUUAAUUGAUGGGGUCAGCGCAAGCGAAGCUCUUGAUCGAAGCCCCGGUAAACGGCGGCCGUAACUAUAACGGUCCUAAGGUAGCGAAAUUCCUUGUCGGGUAAGUUCCGACCUGCACGAAUGGCGUAAUGAUGGCCAGGCUGUCUCCACCCGAGACUCAGUGAAAUUGAACUCGCUGUGAAGAUGCAGUGUACCCGCGGCAAGACGGAAAGACCCCGUGAACCUUUACUAUAGCUUGACACUGAACAUUGAGCCUUGAUGUGUAGGAUAGGUGGGAGGCUUAGAAGUGUGGACGCCAGUCUGCAUGGAGCCGACCUUGAAAUACCACCCUUUAAUGUUUGAUGUUCUAACGUUGACCCGUAAUCCGGGUUGCGGACAGUGUCUGGUGGGUAGUUUGACUGGGGCGGUCUCCUCCUAAAGAGUAACGGAGGAGCACGAAGGUUGGCUAAUCCUGGUCGGACAUCAGGAGGUUAGUGCAAUGGCAUAAGCCAGCUUGACUGCGAGCGUGACGGCGCGAGCAGGUGCGAAAGCAGGUCAUAGUGAUCCGGUGGUUCUGAAUGGAAGGGCCAUCGCUCAACGGAUAAAAGGUACUCCGGGGAUAACAGGCUGAUACCGCCCAAGAGUUCAUAUCGACGGCGGUGUUUGGCACCUCGAUGUCGGCUCAUCACAUCCUGGGGCUGAAGUAGGUCCCAAGGGUAUGGCUGUUCGCCAUUUAAAGUGGUACGCGAGCUGGGUUUAGAACGUCGUGAGACAGUUCGGUCCCUAUCUGCCGUGGGCGCUGGAGAACUGAGGGGGGCUGCUCCUAGUACGAGAGGACCGGAGUGGACGCAUCACUGGUGUUCGGGUUGUCAUGCCAAUGGCACUGCCCGGUAGCUAAAUGCGGAAGAGAUAAGUGCUGAAAGCAUCUAAGCACGAAACUUGCC